This 326-nucleotide ribosomal RNA is filed under the name uncultured Flavobacterium sp. Its description in RNAcentral is "bacterial SSU rRNA". It matches the Rfam family "Bacterial small subunit ribosomal RNA", at positions 9 to 337 of the family's 1533-position model. Lineage: Bacteria; Pseudomonadati; Bacteroidota; Flavobacteriia; Flavobacteriales; Flavobacteriaceae. The record is from RNAcentral.
GAGUUUGAUCUUGGCUCAGGAUGAACGCUAGCGGCAGGCUUAACACAUGCAAGUCGAGGGGUAUAGGUUUUCGGACCUAGAGACCGGCGCACGGGUGCGUAACGCGUAUGUAAUCUACCUUUUACAGAGGGAUAGCCCAGAGAAAUUUGGAUUAAUACCUCAUAGUAUUAUCGGAUGGCAUCAUUUGAUAAUUAAAGUUCCAACGGUAAAGAUGAGCAUGCGUCCCAUUAGCUAGAUGGUAGGUAACGGCUUACCAUGGCGACGUAUGGGUAGGGGUCCUGGAGAGGGAGAUCCCCCACACGUGGUACUGAGACACGGACCAGACU